UACGGGGGGGGCAAGCGUUGUUCGGAAUUACUGGGCGUAAAGGGCUCGUAGGUGGCCAACUAAGUCAGACGUGAAAUCCCCAGGCUCAACUUGGGAACUGCGUCUGAUACUGGAUGGCUUGAAUUCGGGAGAGGGAUGCAGAAUUCCAGGUGUAGCGGUGAAAUGUGUAGAUAUCUGGAGGAAUACCGGUGGCGAAGGCGGCAUCCUGGACCGAGAUUGACACUGAUGAGCGAAAGCUAGGGGAGCAAACGGG
This 253-nucleotide ribosomal RNA is filed under the name uncultured bacterium. RNAcentral's name for it is "partial 16S ribosomal RNA". It matches the Rfam family "Bacterial small subunit ribosomal RNA", at positions 524 to 776 of the family's 1533-position model. The record is from RNAcentral.